This 774-nucleotide ribosomal RNA is filed under the name uncultured bacterium. RNAcentral describes it as "bacterial SSU rRNA". It matches the Rfam family "Bacterial small subunit ribosomal RNA", at positions 8 to 796 of the family's 1533-position model. The record is from RNAcentral.
AGAGUUUGAUCCUGGCUCAGAAUCAACGCUGGCGGCGUGCCUCAGACAUGCAAGUCGUACGAUUAAAGCUCUCUUCGGAGAGUGUAUAGAGUGGCGCACGGGUGAGUAACACGUAAGUAAUCUACCUUCGAGUGGGGAAUAACAGUCGGAAACGACUGCUAAUACCGCAUAAUGCAGCGGCACCUAAUGGUGACAGUUGUUAAAGAUUUAUCGCUUGAAGAGGAGCUUGCGGCAGAUUAGCUAGUUGGUAAGGUAAUGGCUUACCAAGGCGACGAUCUGUAGCCGACCUGAGAGGGUGGUCGGUCACACUGACACUGAAUAACGGGUCAGACUCCUACGGGAGGCAGCAGUCGGGAAUUUUGGGCAAUGGGCGAAAGCCUGACCCAGCAACGCCGCGUGAAGGAUGAAGUAUUUCGGUAUGUAAACUUCGUAAGAAUGGGAAGAAUAAAUGACGGUACCAUUUGUAAGGUCCGGCUAACUACGUGCCAGCAGCCGCGGUAAUACGUAGGGACCAAGCGUUGUUCGGAUUUACUGGGCGUAAAGGGUGCGUAGGCGGCGUGUCAAGUCAGUUGUGAAAUCUUAAGGCUUAACCUUAAGCGGUCAACUGAUACUGUCAUGCUAGAGUGCAGAAGGGGCAAUCGGAAUUCUUGGUGUAGCGGUGAAAUGCGUAGAUAUCAAGAGGAACACCUGAGGUGAAGACGGGUUGCUGGGCUGACACUGACGCUGAGGCACGAAAGCUAGGGUAGCAAACGGGAUUAGAUACCCCCGUAGUCC